GAGCAUGUGUGGAUGUUUCCGGUUGAAAUAAGCAUGCCUGCCGACAUGGGAAUGAUGAAAAGACGGAAAGCUUAAUGGCUGCUGGUGGCACGCGUCGCGUUACCUGAUUCUCCUUGGACGGGGGUACUUAACCGACGAUACUUCCAGCGCAAACCAUUCUCCCGGAUUGAUUCCUUGGCUUUCCCCUCCCCUCGGCUCCCCUCCCUUCCAUAAUCCCUCCAUUUAACCCCUCCGUUUGCUUCGCUCUGCCUGCCUCAUCCUCGUGCUUAAGCUUCUUGCCAUCAGCUGGGAAAGAUAUCUCGAGCAGAGCAGCAGGAGGAGCCACAGCUUCAGCCUUCAGGUCGCACACAUAUACGCGGCGCGUCGGAGGACCAGCCGGCAAGAUGCAGAUGGUACUGAUAAUCUCGCUGCCCCUCGUGGCGCUGGUGGUGAUCAUCGCCAUCAUCCUCUGCAUCGUCUGCCGUUAACCAGCCAGACAGCUCGCGCGCGGCUCGCCUCGCCGGAUGUUGCAUCAUGUAGCCUCGUAGUAGUGUUGUUGCUGCGUCUGUCUCAUACUGCCGUCGUGUAUUUUGUCUGCAGCCCUGCUCGGUGUGUCGUCUUUAUCCCCUGUUCUCCUACUAGCUUCUCAACGUGAAAUGUACUAUUGAUUGAUCAAUGUGUGUGUCUGUUCGUGUGUGUGCGGAUGUCAGUACAGUGCAUACUGCCGUGUAAUGUAAGCUCUUGACUUUGUAGCAAAAAAAUGUAAGCUCCUGACGAAUUCUUCUGA
Molecule: long non-coding RNA, 766 nt
Organism: Triticum aestivum (bread wheat)
Lineage: Eukaryota; Viridiplantae; Streptophyta; Magnoliopsida; Poales; Poaceae
Exons: 2
Source: RefSeq, a predicted model, not a curated record